CGCGUAGGACGAACGCUGGCGGCGUGCUUAACACAUGCAAGUCGAACGGUAAGGCCCCAGCUUGCUGGGGUACACGAGUGGCGAACGGGUGAGUAACACGUGGGUGACCUGCCCCGCACUUCGGGAUAAGCCUGGGAAACUGGGUCUAAUACCGGAUAGGACCGCACCGUGAGGGUGUGGUGGAAAGUUUUUCGGUGUGGGAUGGGCCCGCGGCCUAUCAGCUUGUUGGUGGGGUAAUGGCCUACCAAGGCGGCGACGGGUAGCCGGCCUGAGAGGGUGGACGGCCACAUUGGGACUGAGACACGGCCCAGACUCCUACGGGAGGCAGCAGUGGGGAAUAUUGCACAAUGGGCGGAAGCCUGAAUGCAGCGACGCCGCGUGGGGGAUGACGGCCUUCGGGUUGUAAACUCCUUUCACCAUCGACGAAGGUUUUCUGACGGUAGAUGGAGAAGAAGCACCGGCUAACUACGUGCCAGCCGCAGC
RNAcentral lists this ribosomal RNA (483 nucleotides) under uncultured bacterium. Its description in RNAcentral is "bacterial SSU rRNA". It matches the Rfam family "Bacterial small subunit ribosomal RNA", at positions 26 to 518 of the family's 1533-position model. The record is from RNAcentral.